GACGAACGCUGGCGGCGUGCUUAACACAUGCAAGUCGAACGGAAAGGCCCUGCUUUUGUGGGGUGCUCGAGUGGCGAACGGGUGAGUAACACGUGAGUAACCUGCCCUUGACUUUGGGAUAACUUCAGGAAACUGGGGCGAAUACCGGAUAGGAGCUCCUGCUGCAUGGGGGGGGUUGGAAAGUUUCGGCGGUUGGGGAUGGACUCGCGGCUUAUCAGCUUGUUGGUGGGGUAGUGGCUUACCAAGGCUUUGACGGGUAGCCGGCCUGAGAGGGUGACCGGCCACAUUGGGACUGAGAUACGGCCCAGACUCCUACGGGAGGCAGCAGUGGGGAAUAUUGCACAAUGGGCGGAAGCCUGAUGCAGCAACGCCGCGUGCGGGAUGACGGCCUUCGGGUUGUAAACCGCUUUCGCCUGUGACGAAGCGUGAGUGACGGUAAUGGGUAAAGAAGCACCGGCUAACUACGUG
Molecule: ribosomal RNA, 468 nt
Filed under: uncultured bacterium
Lineage: Bacteria
Description: partial 16S ribosomal RNA
Rfam family: Bacterial small subunit ribosomal RNA
Source: RNAcentral